UCAAAUUUGAAAUCUGGCACCUUCGGUGUCCGAGUUGUAAUUUGAAGAAGGUAACUUUGGAGUUGGGUCUUGUCUAUGUUCCUUGGAACAGGACGUCACAGAGGGUGAGAAUCCCGUGCGAUGAGAUGUCCAACUCUAUGUAAAGUGCUUUCGAAGAGUCGAGUUGUUUGGGAAUGCAGCUCUAAGUGGGUGGUAAAUUCCAUCUAAAGCUAAAUAUUGGCGAGAGACCGAUAGCGAACAAGUACAGUGAUGGAAAGAUGAAAAGAACUUUGAAAAGAGAGUGAAAAAGUACGUGAAAUUGUUGAAAGGGAAGGGUUUGAGAUCAGACUUGGUAUUUUGUAUGUCUUGCUUUCGGGUGGGGCCUCUGCAGUUUACUGGGCCAGCAUCGGUUUGGACGGUAGGAUAAUGACAUUGGAAUGUGGCACUACUUCGGUGGUGUGUUAUAGACUUUGUUGAUACUGCCUGUCUAGACCGAGGACUGCGUCUUUGACUAGGAUGCUGGCAUAAUGAUCCUAAACCG
This 520-nucleotide ribosomal RNA is filed under the name Scheffersomyces shehatae. RNAcentral's name for it is "eukaryotic LSU rRNA". It matches the Rfam family "Eukaryotic large subunit ribosomal RNA", at positions 109 to 647 of the family's 3401-position model. Lineage: Eukaryota; Fungi; Ascomycota; Pichiomycetes; Serinales; Debaryomycetaceae. The record is from RNAcentral.